This 247-nucleotide ribosomal RNA is filed under the name uncultured bacterium. RNAcentral's name for it is "partial 16S ribosomal RNA". It matches the Rfam family "Bacterial small subunit ribosomal RNA", at positions 93 to 334 of the family's 1533-position model. The record is from RNAcentral.
UAGCGGCGGACGGGUGAGUAACACGUGGGUAACUUACCUAUAAGACUGGAAUAACUCCGGGAAACCGGGGCUAAUGUCGGAUAACAUGUUGAACCGCAUGGUUCUACAGUGAAAGGCGGCUUUGCUGUCACUUAUAGAUGGACCCGCGCCGUAUUAGCUAGUUGGUGAGGUAACGGCUCACCAAGGCAACGAUACGUAGCCGACCUGAGAGGGUGAUCGGCCACACUGGAACUGAGACACGGUCCAG